Acanthosepion pharaonis is the source of this 93-nucleotide non-coding RNA. The record is from the annotation of a GenBank genome assembly. Lineage: Eukaryota; Metazoa; Mollusca; Cephalopoda; Sepiida; Sepiidae.
GAAACACGGGUUCCCGUACGAUCACAGAAGUUAAGCAACGUUGAGCCUGGUCAGUAUCGAGAUGGGUGACCGCUUGGGAAUAUCUGGUGCUGU